This 891-nucleotide ribosomal RNA is filed under the name Blastocystis sp. RNAcentral describes it as "SSU rRNA". It matches the Rfam family "Eukaryotic small subunit ribosomal RNA", at positions 21 to 933 of the family's 1831-position model. The record is from RNAcentral. Lineage: Eukaryota; Bigyra; Opalinata; Blastocystidae.
AGUCAUACGCUCGUCUCAAAGAUUAAGCCAUGCAUGUGUAAGUAUAAAUAAUUUUACUUUGAAACUGCGAAUGGCUCAUUAUAUCAGUUAUAGUUUAUUAGAAAUACUUUACUACUUGGAUAACCGUAGUAAUUCUAGGGCUAAUACAUGAGUAAAUCCUCAACUUCGGAAGAGGUGUGUUUAUUAGUAUGAAAACCAUAUAUCUUCGGAUAUAAUAGUGAGUAAUAAUAACCUUUCAUAUCGUAUGUCGUAAGAUAACGAUAGUUCUUUCAAGUUUCUGCCCUAUCAGCUUUCGAUGGUAGUAUAUGGGACUACCAUGGCAGUAACGGGUAACGAAGAAUUUGGGUUCGAUUUCGGAGAGGGAGCCUGAGAGAUGGCUACCACAUCCAAGGAAGGCAGCAGGCGCGUAAAUUACCCAAUCCUGACAUAGGGAGGUAGUGACAAUAAAUCACAAUGCGGAACUAUUUAGUUUUGCAAUUGGAUUGAGAACAAUGUACAAAUGUUAUCGAUAAACAAUUGGAGGGCAAGUCUGGUGCCAGCAGCCGCGGUAAUUCCAGCUCCAAUAGCGUAUAUUAACGUUGUUGCAGUUAAAAAGCUCGUAGUUGAAAUGUGGGAUGAAGUAUAUGAUGAAUUUAAUAUUCAAUUAUAUAUUGAUUCCCCUCUCCAAUUUAUUAUUAUGGGUAUUAAUUUAUUUGUAAUAAGAAUUGGUCAUUUACUGUGAGAAAAUUAGAGUGUUCAAAGCAGGCAUUUGCUUGAAUAGAUUAGCAUGGAAUAAUAAUAAAAGGCUUUUAUGGUCGAUUUAAUUGGUUUGUUCAUAAAAGCAAGAUUAAAAGGAACAGUUGGGGGUAUUCAUAUUCAAUAGUUAGAGGUGAAAUUCUCGGAUUUAUGGAA